RNAcentral lists this small RNA (121 nucleotides) under Staphylococcus aureus. The record is from RNAcentral. Lineage: Bacteria; Bacillati; Bacillota; Bacilli; Caryophanales; Staphylococcaceae.
AUAUUUACUAUUAAUUCAAUCAUUUUGCAUUUCUCUACUAACCAGUGUUAUAAUCUAGAUAACGAAAAUGAUUAACAAUUAAUGCACCAAUCCCCACACUAUUGCAGUAGUGUGGGGAUUU